RNAcentral lists this long non-coding RNA (1332 nucleotides) under Carassius auratus (goldfish). Its description in RNAcentral is "lncRNA (ENSCARG00000026325.1)". Lineage: Eukaryota; Metazoa; Chordata; Actinopteri; Cypriniformes; Cyprinidae. The record is from RNAcentral.
AUGAACCGACCAGCAAGGAACUCAGCAGACAGGAGGCAAUGCUGGAUGGCAUCAGCCAGCCAGCGAGAUUGUUUUGAGGGCUCUCGCCUUGUGGUGUUCCGGGGGACCAGGGGAGGUCGUUCCGGAGUGAGCGGGCGAGAGGAGGAGCCCCAGAGGUCCCCACCUACCCAGCUGCCGGCGAUCCCGGAGGGUCGUGUCCUGGCCGUGGCAACCCUGGGGGGUCAGGCAAGCCCCUCCCAGAGUCCUGAGGUGCCCUCCUCAGCCAGCAGUCUCCCCAUGAAACGAGGGAGACGGUUUUCAUGGGAGUCAACUUCUGAGUCUUCGGCGUCCGAGACUGCCCUGCCCGAGACCAAACUCCCCCAACCCGCCUCUGACCCAGCUGUGGCCUCUGCACCGCGCCCAAGGAGGAAGAGGAGGAAGAGGGGGCCCGCCGGUCCUGUGACCCUGUCUCCUCCCGAGCCAGCAGCGGUGAGCGCUGGCGUGCCCGUGCCAGCAGUGGAGAGAGCUGGCGUGCCCGUGCCAGCAGCGGUGAGCGCUGGCGUGCCCGUGCCAGCAGCGGAGAGAGCUGGCGUGCCCGUGCCAGCGGCGGUGAGCGCUGGCGUGCCCGUGCCAGCAGCGGAGAGAGCUGGCGUGCCCGUGCCAGCAGCGGUGAGCGCUAGCGUGCCCGAGCCAGCAAAGAAGAGAGCUGCAGUCGUGAGAGCGGAGGAGAGAGCCGCGGCCGACUCUGCAGCAAAGACUCUUGUACAGUCGGUCUCUUCUCAGAAGGAGAUGCCUAUUAUCCUUGCUGCUAAAGCCUUUUCUGAUUAUUUGUCCCGUCUUGUCCAAAUUUUAGAAGUCCCCGUCAGUCCUGUUUUGUCCCCUGACCCUGUUCCCAGAAGUCCUAAGUGUCCAGCCGUUGUCUCCCCGUGUCCAGCCGUUGUCUCCCCGUGUCCAGCCGUUGUCCCCCCGUGUCCAGUAGAUGUCGUCUCCCCGCGUCCCGUAAGUCUUGCCCCGCGUCCCGUAAGUGUUGCCCCGCGUCCCUUGUCUGCUCCCGUCAUGCCCCCGGUCAGUUGUUCCGAGACCCCUCCCCGCCCCUCACCACCCAGACCUGCCCGUACCCCCCGUCGUCAGCCUUUGUCCUGUCCUCCUAAGAUUCCUACCCCACCCACUCACCCUGGUCUGCCCCCCAUGAACUUUGUGGUCCCGCCCCCUCCCCUUCCCUGUUUGUUUUUUUUGUUAUGUCACCCUAACCCUGCCAUUGUGUUUUCAUGUUUGCCUUUGUUAUUAUUAGUCAUGUCUUGUUGGUUUGUGUCUGUGUCCCAGUCAGUCAUGUCAGUCAUGUCCCGUGUUUGA